This 86-nucleotide small RNA is filed under the name Arabidopsis thaliana (thale cress). RNAcentral's name for it is "ATSL153040". The record is from RNAcentral. Lineage: Eukaryota; Viridiplantae; Streptophyta; Magnoliopsida; Brassicales; Brassicaceae.
UUUGCAUUAAAAAAUUUGUGUGAAAAUGCAUCUCUUCAAUUAUUUCGAAAUAGUAGAUUAACUACUACACUAACGAUGAUAUUUAA